This 527-nucleotide long non-coding RNA is filed under the name Gossypium barbadense (sea-island cotton). Its description in RNAcentral is "long non-coding RNA (GBAR_LNC002200)". The record is from RNAcentral. Lineage: Eukaryota; Viridiplantae; Streptophyta; Magnoliopsida; Malvales; Malvaceae.
UUAUUUAUAAAUUUGGCCUUAAGCCUUGGAGGCCAUUAUCAUAUAUUGAUGCAGCGAUUCAAGGCAUUGGGGAAUUCCAUGUGCACUUAAUAUGGAUCAUAUGUUUUAUGUUGGAUGGGAAAUUGCAAACACAUUUCUUUUUUCCGGAUGUGUUACCAAAGGUAAGAAGAUGUUUCGGUAUCCAUUUUUUAUAACCUCUUCUAUCGUUAGUUGAAUGAUUAUAAUAAAUUAAUAUACAAAAUCCCUUUUGAUUUUCUUUUAUAAAAUAAUUAAUAAACAAAUUUAGAGCUGGUGUAGUUCUUGCCUUCCUACCUGCUUCUUAUCAGCUUUAAUCAUUUGUUUGUUUGGCUGGCUAUCUGGCAUGUUUUUUUACCACAUUUUCAAUUAUAUGAUUUUUUUUCCAGCAGGAUUAUGGUCCUCCGCUACAUGCAAUGGAUCUGAAUCUUGGGUACUUUCAACUACCUAUUUCUAAUACAUAUUGGCCGAUAAAAGUAUCAAAAAUAAAGAAUUCUGUAUUAGAAAUUAAG